GGCGGGGUAGCUCAGCCUGGAAGAGCGAUCGGUUCAUGCCCGUUAGGCCGGCGGUUCAAAUCCGCCCCCCGCAACCA
RNAcentral lists this transfer RNA (77 nucleotides) under Mesorhizobium sp. L103C120A0. RNAcentral's name for it is "tRNA-Met". It matches the Rfam family "tRNA". From Rfam's summary of the family: Transfer RNA (tRNA) molecules are approximately 80 nucleotides in length. Their secondary structure includes four short double-helical elements and three loops (D, anti-codon, and T loops). The record is from RNAcentral. Lineage: Bacteria; Pseudomonadati; Pseudomonadota; Alphaproteobacteria; Hyphomicrobiales; Phyllobacteriaceae. RNAcentral also lists the same sequence under 1 other name.